CCAUGAGUAGAGUGGCAAACGGGUGAGUAACACGUGGGUGACCUGCCUUCGAGCGGGGGAUAACGUCCCCGAAAGGGACGCUAAUACCGCAUAACAUCCUGCCUUUUAAGAGGUGGAGAUCAAAGCCGGGGAUCGCAAGACCUGGCACUUGAAGAGGGGCCCGCGCCUGAUUAGCUAGUUGGUGGGGUAAUGGCUCACCAAGGCAACGAUCAGUAUCCGGCCUGAGAGGGCGGACGGACACACUGGGACUGAGACACGGCCCAGACUCCUACGGGAGGCAGCAGUGGGGAAUUGUUCGCAAUGGGCGCAAGCCUGACGACGCAACGCCGCGUGGAGGAUGAAGACCUUCGGGUCGUAAACUCCUUUCGAUCGAGACGAAUGGUUUCCGGGUGAACAAUCCGGAG
RNAcentral lists this ribosomal RNA (404 nucleotides) under uncultured bacterium. Its description in RNAcentral is "bacterial SSU rRNA". It matches the Rfam family "Bacterial small subunit ribosomal RNA", at positions 84 to 477 of the family's 1533-position model. The record is from RNAcentral.